UGGGGAAUUUUCCGCAAUGGGCGAAAGCCUGACGGAGCAAUGCCGCGUGGAGGUGGAAGGCCUAUGGGUCGUCAACUUCUUUUCUCGGAGAAGAAACAAUGACGGUAUCUGAGGAAUAAGCAUCGGCUAACUCUGUGCCAA
RNAcentral lists this ribosomal RNA (141 nucleotides) under uncultured bacterium. RNAcentral's name for it is "partial 16S rRNA". It matches the Rfam family "Bacterial small subunit ribosomal RNA", at positions 355 to 511 of the family's 1533-position model. The record is from RNAcentral.